RNAcentral lists this ribosomal RNA (1363 nucleotides) under uncultured bacterium. RNAcentral's name for it is "bacterial SSU rRNA". It matches the Rfam family "Bacterial small subunit ribosomal RNA", at positions 28 to 1381 of the family's 1533-position model. The record is from RNAcentral.
AUUGAACGCUGGCGGCAGGCCUAACACAUGCAAGUCGAACGGUAACAGGAAACAGCUUGCUGUUUCGCUGACGAGUGGCGGACGGGUGAGUAAUGUCUGGGAAACUGCCUGAUGGAGGGGGAUAACUACUGGAAACGGCAGCUAAUACCGCAUAACGUCGCAAGACCAAAGAGGGGGACCCUCGGGCCUCUUGCCAUCGGAUGUGCCCAGAUGGGAUUAGCUUGUUGGUGGGGUAACGGCUCACCAAGGCGACGAUCCCUAGCUGGUCUGAGAGGAUGACCAGCCACACUGGAACUGAGACACGGUCCAGACUCCUACGGGAGGCAGCAGUGGGGAAUAUUGCACAAUGGGCGCAAGCCUGAUGCAGCCAUGCCGCGUGUAUGAAGAAGGCCUUCGGGUUGCAAAGCACUUUCAGCGGGGAGGAAGGGAGUAAAGUUAAUACCUUUGCUCAUUGACGUUACCCGCAGAAGAAGCACCGGCUAACUCCGUGCCAGCAGCCGCGGUAAUACGGAGGGUGCAAGCGUUAAUCGGAAUUACUGGGCGUAAAGCGCACGCAGGCGGUUUGUUAAGUCAGAUGUGAAAUCCCCGGCCCCCACCUGGGAACUGCAUCUGAUACUGGCAAGCUUGAGUCUCGUAGAGGGGGGUAGAAUUCCAGGUGUAGCGGUGAAAUGCGUAGAGAUCUGGAGGAAUACCGGUGGCGAAGGCGGCCCCCUGGACGAAGACUGACGCUCAGGUGCGAAAGCGUGGGGAGCAAACAGGAUUAGAUACCCUGGUAGUCCACGCCGUAAACGAUGUCGACUUGGAGGUUGUGCCCUUGAGGCGUGGCUUCCGGAGCUAACGCGUUAAGUCGACCGCCUGGGGAGUACGGCCGCAAGGUUAAAACUCAAAUGAAUUGACGGGGGCCCGCACAAGCGGUGGAGCAUGUGGUUUAAUUCGAUGCAACGCGAAGAACCUUACCUGGUCUUGACAUCCACGGAAGUUUUCAGAGAUGAGAAUGUGCCUUCGGGAACCGUGAGACAGGUGCUGCAUGGCUGUCGUCAGCUCGUGUUGUGAAAUGUUGGGUUAAGUCCCGCAACGAGCGCAACCCUUAUCCUUUGUUGCCAGCGGUCCGGCCGGGAACUCAAAGGAGACUGCCAGUGAUAAACUGGAGGAAGGUGGGGAUGACGUCAAGUCAUCAUGGCCCUUACGACCAGGGCUACACACGUGCUACAAUGGCGCAUACAAAGAGAAGCGACCUCGCGAGAGCAAGCGGACCUCAUAAAGUGCGUCGUAGUCCGGAUUGGAGUCUGCAACUCGACUCCAUGAAGUCGGAAUCGCUAGUAAUCGUGGAUCAGAAUGCCACGGUGAAUACGUUCCCGGGCCU